RNAcentral lists this ribosomal RNA (148 nucleotides) under uncultured Bacillus sp. RNAcentral describes it as "partial 16S ribosomal RNA". It matches the Rfam family "Bacterial small subunit ribosomal RNA", at positions 339 to 480 of the family's 1533-position model. Lineage: Bacteria; Bacillati; Bacillota; Bacilli; Caryophanales; Bacillaceae. The record is from RNAcentral.
UUACGGGAGGCAGCAGUAGGGAAUCUUCCACAAUGGGCGAAAGCCUGAUGGAGCAACGCCGCGUGAGUGAAGAAGGUUUUCGGAUCGUAAAGCUCUGUUGUUGGUGAAGAAGGAUAGAGGUAGUAACUGGCCCCUAUUGACGGUAAUC